This 54-nucleotide unclassified non-coding RNA is filed under the name Drosophila melanogaster (fruit fly). The record is from RNAcentral. Lineage: Eukaryota; Metazoa; Arthropoda; Insecta; Diptera; Drosophilidae.
GAGGGCCGCGGCAGCCUGCUGACCUGCGGCGAUGUGGAGGAGAACCCCGGGCCC